UAGGACCCUGUUAAAUACCCUUGCCUGCACGCUGCGCGAUCCUUUCCGUUCUGAGGACGCUGCAGUGCCUCAGGUAGCUGUGAAUGCUCUGUGCUGUAUUUGUUACAUCUCAAUUAUAUUAUGUACGCUAAAACACAGUUUAGUGUUUUAUAUUUAUAUUUGCUUAAAACGCCGAUGUGGCUUGUCGUUAACGCUAAUUCAAGACCUGCAAAGUGACACCGCAGCGCUUCUGGCCUCGCCUUUAGUCAGAGAGCAACAUGUUUAAUCCAGUGCGACUUGAUGCUAUUGCGUUAAUCGUGUUGCAGAUCAUAUCUACUUGAACUGAACAAUGAUGUGCUGAAGUUGCAGCAGUUUCCCAGUAAGUAUGAGACCACAGCGGGUUUAUUUUCCUUCAGAAACGGGUCUGGGGACCCUCAGGCCGCAAAAACAGGAAAAUAAGCUUAUGAAUGUCGGUGGAAAGUAAAUAAAAUCAUCUAAAAUGUAGUAAAUGCGUUCAAUUAAAAUAAUAAAUUAAAAUUGAUUUAAAUAAUUGCUUUUACAGUACUAUAGUAGUGAGUAAAACAAAAGAAAUGUUGCAAGAUAUUUCCCAUUUCUGAUAAUUUCCUCAGUAUAAAUAGUUUUUACAUAUAAAUAUAUAGCUGCCUUUUAAACUUUAGGAUGGUAGUCCCUCUGAACCCAUUUGUGGUUCUGUGACACUUAAAGAUUGAAAACCCCUGUUGUCCGUUAUUGUGUGUGAUGAUGAAUCAUUAGACUAGAGUCUCUGAUUUACUCGUGAAGAUCUUCACAGUGCACUGAACACAUGCUCUACAGCUUAUGACUGGUUUGCAGUGGCUUGGAUGUCUCUAAAUGUUCAUUUCCACAGAUUUGGUGGGAGGAACGGACGUUGCCAGGUAUCUGAUGUCAACCACUUACAACCAAUAGGUGGGCGGAACAAACUUUGCCAGGUAUCCGAUGUCAACCGCUUACAACCAAUAGGUUGGAUUCCAGCAGAAUGGUUGAUCGCUACAGUUGAUGACUACUGGGUUUUCAGCAAAGGGUUUGAAGCCAAUAUGGACGUUGUCUCUAGCCCAUGA
RNAcentral lists this long non-coding RNA (1073 nucleotides) under Sinocyclocheilus grahami. Its description in RNAcentral is "lncRNA (ENSSGRG00000023062.1)". Lineage: Eukaryota; Metazoa; Chordata; Actinopteri; Cypriniformes; Cyprinidae. The record is from RNAcentral.